Molecule: ribosomal RNA, 164 nt
Filed under: uncultured bacterium
Lineage: Bacteria
Description: partial 16S rRNA
Rfam family: Bacterial small subunit ribosomal RNA
Source: RNAcentral
UAGGGAAUCUUCCACAAUGGGCGCAAGCCUGAUGGAGCAACGCCGCGUGAGUGAAGAAGGUUUUCGGAUCGUAAAGCUCUGUUGUUGGUGAAGAAGGAUAGAGGCAGUAACUGGUCUUUAUUUGACGGUAAUCAACCAGAAAGUCACGGCUAACUACGUGCCAG